Molecule: ribosomal RNA, 330 nt
Filed under: uncultured eukaryote
Lineage: Eukaryota
Description: partial 18S ribosomal RNA
Rfam family: Eukaryotic small subunit ribosomal RNA
Source: RNAcentral
CCCUUAGAUGUCCUGGGCCGCACGCGCGCUACACUGACGGAGCCAGCGAGCGUGUCCUUCGCCGAAAGGUGCGGGUAAUCUUGGCAGCCUCCGUCGUGCUGGGGAUAGAUGGUUGCAAUUAUUGAUCUUGAACGAGGAAUUCCUAGUAAGCGCGAGUCACCAGCUCGCGUUGAUUACGUCCCUGCCCUUUGUACACACCGCCCGUCGCUACUACCGAUUGGAUGGCUUAAUGAGAGCUCUGGAUCUCUGCCGGCGCGGUCCUCACGGGUCGCGUUGGAUGGGGAGAAGUUGCUCAAAUUGAGUCUUCUAGAGGAAGUAAAGGUCGUAACA